AUACGUAGGGGGCGAGCGUUGUCCGGAAUGAUUGGGCGUAAAGGGCGCGUAGGCGGCGCGGUAAGUCUGGAGUGAAAGUCCUGCUUUCAAGGUGGGAAUUGCUUUGGAUACUGCCGCGCUAGAGUGCAGGAGAGGUUAUCGGAAUUCCCGGUGUAGCGGUGAAAUGCGUAGAGAUCGGGAGGAACACCAGUGGCGAAGGCGGGUAACUGGACUGCAACUGACGCUGAGGCGCGAAAGUGUGGGGAGCAAACAGGAUUAGAUACCCUGGUAGUCCACACUGUAAACGAUGAAUGCUAGGUGUAAGAGGUAUCGACCCCUUUUGUGCCGGAGUCAACACAAUAAGCAUUCCGCCUGGGGAGUACGGCCGCAAGGUUGAAACUCAAAUGAAUUGACGGGG
Molecule: ribosomal RNA, 397 nt
Filed under: uncultured bacterium
Lineage: Bacteria
Description: partial 16S ribosomal RNA
Rfam family: Bacterial small subunit ribosomal RNA
Source: RNAcentral